GACCUCGGAUCAGGUAGGACUACCCGCUGAACUUAAGCAUAUCAAU
RNAcentral lists this ribosomal RNA (46 nucleotides) under Cordyceps cicadae. RNAcentral describes it as "partial 28S ribosomal RNA". Lineage: Eukaryota; Fungi; Ascomycota; Sordariomycetes; Hypocreales; Cordycipitaceae. The record is from RNAcentral.